CCCAUACUCCCUAUACCAACCCCUUUCUGCUCUGCAGGGAGGGUGAUGCCUUUCAAGGGGGAUCUUCAGAGUCUUUCAUAUCAUUUGGAGCAGGGCCUAGAACCUCCCCCAGUGUGUCUAGGCUUAGAGAGUAUCCCUUUAUGGGGAGUAGGGGUCCCAAAAUCCAUUCAUGUACUAGGGAUAAAACUGAUCCACUAUCAGAGGCCCCAUAAUUGCCCAGAAUUCCAAACUAACAUCCUCAUUCAAGGGGUCUAGAACAGUCCUAUACUGUAGGGAGCCAUCCCUGCAUUCUCCAUUACAAGAUGGCGCCUGCAUCUGGCAGGCACCAAAUGUAAACAAGUUAGUGCGCAGGCGCUGGGUAACUUUCCAUCCCUUGGUCUCUGCCUCUCCCGUAGCGUCAUAUGGUCCGAUGAGCUGCAGCCAAUCAUGGGGUGACACGUCCGAGGUGGUGGUUGCCAGCCUAUAUAAGGGAUGGGUUUUUGGGAGUUCGGGGUCUCCGCCCUGUAAGCUUAUGCUCUCUCUCUCAAGAUGCAUUAAAGCAGAAGGAUCCGAGUGUCCUGUGUCGUUCUUGCUGGCGAGACGAUCGCGAGGGACAUCUGGUGCCGAAACCCGGGAACUUGUUAACAUCGCUGGCACUGAGGAGACCCCUGGGAGGACGGGGCAGAUUCAGAACUGCAGGGUGGUAAGUUCGGAGAGUUCGCGACCAAGCUUACCCCAGGUAGCUGCCAGCAUAAUGGGCUCUUCAAAACUGAGAGACCUAAUUAAAAACUGUCUAGAGGAUGAGGCUUGCUGUCCCACGGUAGCAGAGAGUCAAAAAACACUUAAAGAGGUACAGGAUAAUAUAUCAGAAACCGAACGAGAUGAGAGAUUAGGAGCUCAAAAAAGGAAGGACAUGUCUAAGAAAAAGGGCCCUCCCCAGUAUACAAAAAAGGGGGGAGAGAAAAUAGGGGAUGACCGGUCACACCCCGGUAAAUUUAAGAGAAAUAAAGACUCAAAACCUAGUCUCUACCCUACGGUGAAACUAGAGGCCUUGGAGCUGAGCAACUCAGACUCUGAGAUUUUAGACUCUAGCGAGGAAACAGAGCUAGAGGAGGACAGAUACCACCCCGAUAGAUAUCGGCUGCCAAAAGUGAAAGCAAAUAUGAGGCCACCGCCUGUUAAUCCAGCGGGUGUACUUCCA
RNAcentral lists this long non-coding RNA (1180 nucleotides) under Cricetulus griseus (Chinese hamster). Its description in RNAcentral is "lncRNA (ENSCGRG00015039260.1)". The record is from RNAcentral. Lineage: Eukaryota; Metazoa; Chordata; Mammalia; Rodentia; Cricetidae.